Molecule: non-coding RNA, 375 nt
Organism: Ictalurus furcatus (blue catfish)
Lineage: Eukaryota; Metazoa; Chordata; Actinopteri; Siluriformes; Ictaluridae
Source: the annotation of a RefSeq genome assembly
AUGUUCUCCUUCUACUGGAACAUGUUCGUGCUGCUGCAGAGAUUCCAGUUUUGCUUCUCGGGUCCCACAGCUCCCUCCGUGUCUCUGCUCCCUCCGUCUCCUCUGCAGCUGUCUGAGGGAUCAGCCUCGCUGCUCUGCCUGCUGUCUGGCUACUCUCCACAGGGGGCGCUGGUGAGCUGGACAGUGGACGGCUCAGAGGUGAAGGACGGGGUUCUGACCAGCGCAGAAGAACCGAAGAAGGACGGGUACGCACGCAGCAGCACCCUGACCCUCAACAAAGCACUCUGGGAAAAGGGGGAGGAGUUUGUCUGUAGGGUCUCCCAUGACAACGUCAACCAUCCGGUCACGUUCAGAAAGAGUCAGUGUGAAGUCUAA